RNAcentral lists this ribosomal RNA (378 nucleotides) under Triticum aestivum (bread wheat). Its description in RNAcentral is "partial small subunit ribosomal RNA". The record is from RNAcentral. Lineage: Eukaryota; Viridiplantae; Streptophyta; Magnoliopsida; Poales; Poaceae.
AUGCCCAAGUUGGUCUCUAAGGUCUUAACAAACAGGUUUCAACGCCGAAUUCCAGAUUUGGUGCACCCAUUGCAAUCUGGUUUUUUGAAAGGUCGUUUGAUCAUUGAAAACUUUGCUCUAGCCACUGAGCUAGUUCAGACUGCUCAUAAAAGAAAGCUGCUGGUUAUCACCUUAAAACUGGACUUUCAAAAAUCCUUUGACAGUGUGAGUUGGAGUUGCCUUUUGUAGAUAUUUCAAGCUAGAGGCUUCCCGCAGAGGUGGACCCAGUGGAUUUCCUCCUUAUUAUCCAUGGGCAAAUCGCGAGUCUUGAUGAAUGGAGAGCUUGGUGAUGUUUUUUCUACCAAGAAGGGCUUCCGUCAAGGGGAUUCUCUUUCUCCA